GCAGCUGUAAUUUAGUGGUCAUAAUAUUCGCUUUACAACUCUGCCAACGCGAAAGGUCGCCGGUUCGAACCCGGCCAGCUGUA
RNAcentral lists this transfer RNA (83 nucleotides) under Cercospora zeae-maydis SCOH1-5. It matches the Rfam family "tRNA". Rfam says of the family: Transfer RNA (tRNA) molecules are approximately 80 nucleotides in length. Their secondary structure includes four short double-helical elements and three loops (D, anti-codon, and T loops). Further hydrogen bonds mediate the characteristic L-shaped molecular structure. tRNAs have two regions of fundamental functional importance: the anti-codon, which is responsible for specific mRNA codon recognition, and the 3' end, to which the tRNAs corresponding amino acid is attached (by aminoacyl-tRNA synthetases). tRNAs cope with the degeneracy of the genetic code in two manners: having more than one tRNA (with a specific anti-codon) for a particular amino acid; and 'wobble' base-pairing, i.e. permitting non-standard base-pairing at the 3rd anti-codon position. Lineage: Eukaryota; Fungi; Ascomycota; Dothideomycetes; Mycosphaerellales; Mycosphaerellaceae. The record is from Rfam by way of RNAcentral.